Molecule: ribosomal RNA, 385 nt
Filed under: Staphylococcus epidermidis
Lineage: Bacteria; Bacillati; Bacillota; Bacilli; Caryophanales; Staphylococcaceae
Description: bacterial SSU rRNA
Source: RNAcentral
UGACCCCUCUAGAGAUAGAGUUUUUCCCCUUCGGGGGACAGAGUGACAGGUGGUGCAUGGUUGUCGUCAGCUCGUGUCGUGAGAUGUUGGGUUAAGUCCCGCAACGAGCGCAACCCUUAAGCUUAGUUGCCAUCAUUAAGUUGGGCACUCUAAGUUGACUGCCGGUGACAAACCGGAGGAAGGUGGGGAUGACGUCAAAUCAUCAUGCCCCUUAUGAUUUGGGCUACACACGUGYUACAAUGGACAAUACAAAGGGUAGCGAAACCGCGAGGUCAAGCAAAUCCCAUAAAGUUGUUCUCAGUUCGGAUUGUAGUCUGCAACUCGACUAUAUGAAGCUGGAAUCGCUAGUAAUCGUAGAUCAGCAUGCUACGGUGAAUACGUUCCC